GAGCAACGCCGCGUGAGUGAAGAAGGUUUUCGGAUCGUAAAGCUCUGUUGUAAGUCAAGAACGGGUGUGAGAGUGGAAAGUUCACACUGUGACGGUAGCUUACCAGAAAGGGACGGCUAACUACGUGCCAGCAGCCGCGGUAAUACGUAGGUCCCGAGCGUUGUCCGGAUUUAUUGGGCGUAAAGCGAGCGCAGGCGGUUUGAUAAGUCUGAAGUUAAAGGCUGUGGCUCAACCAUAGUUCGCUUUGGAAACUGUCAAACUUGAGUGCAGAAGGAGAGAGUGGAAUUCCAUGUGUAGCGGUGAAAUGCGUAGAUAUAUGGAGGAACACCGGUGGCGAAAGCGGCUCUCUGGUCUGUAACUGACGCUGAGGCUCGAAAGCGUGGGGAGCGAGGCAGGAUUAGAUACCCUGGUAAAUCCCGCGGCCAAUCAA
This 430-nucleotide ribosomal RNA is filed under the name uncultured bacterium. Its description in RNAcentral is "bacterial SSU rRNA". It matches the Rfam family "Bacterial small subunit ribosomal RNA", at positions 389 to 810 of the family's 1533-position model. The record is from RNAcentral.